Molecule: ribosomal RNA, 253 nt
Filed under: uncultured bacterium
Lineage: Bacteria
Description: partial 16S ribosomal RNA
Rfam family: Bacterial small subunit ribosomal RNA
Source: RNAcentral
UACGUAGGGUGCAAGCGUUAAUCGGAAUUACUGGGCGUAAAGCGUGCGCAGGCGGUUAUGCAAGACAGAUGUGAAAUCCCCGGGCUUAACCUGGGAACUGCAUUUGUGACUGCAUGACUAGAGUACGGUAGAGGGGGAUGGAAUUCCGCGUGUAGCAGUGAAAUGCGUAGAUAUGUGGAGGAACACCGAUGGCGAAGGCAAUCCCCUGGACCUGUACUGACGCUCAUGCACGAAAGCGUGGGGAGCAAACAGG